AUACGUAGGGUGCGAACGUUGUCCGGAAUUACUGGGCGUAAAGAGCUCGUAGGUGGUUUGUCGCGUCGUCUGUGAAAUUCCGGGGCUUAACUCCGGGCGUGCAGGCGAUACGGGCAUAACUUGAGUACUGUAGGGGAGACUGGAAUUCCUGGUGUAGCGGUGAAAUGCGCAGAUAUCAGGAGGAACACCGGUGGCGAAGGCGGGUCUCUGGGCAGUAACUGACGCUGAGGAGCGAAAGCAUGGGUAGCGAACAGGAUUAGAUACCCUGGUAGUCCAUGCCGUAAACGGUGGGCGCUAGGUGUAGGGGUCUUCCACGACUUCUGUGCCGUAGCUAACGCAUUAAGCGCCCCGCCUGGGGAGUACGGCCGCAAGGCUAAAACUCAAAUGAAUUGACGGGG
This 398-nucleotide ribosomal RNA is filed under the name uncultured bacterium. RNAcentral's name for it is "partial 16S ribosomal RNA". It matches the Rfam family "Bacterial small subunit ribosomal RNA", at positions 523 to 918 of the family's 1533-position model. The record is from RNAcentral.